CAUGGUGGCCCCCCUCCAGCUCUCCUUCGGGCUCCGGGAGUCUUCCGGGGAAAUAUAAUUUUGGUGAAUUUUCAGGAAUUUUUCGGGAAAGUUGAUUUCUGCACAGAAAUAGACACCAAGGGUAAUUCUGCUGAAAAUAGCGUUAGUCCAUGUUAGUUUGAUCCAAAUCAUGCAAAUUAGAGGAAAAACAAUAAGGAAAGUGUUAGGAAAAGUAGAUACGUUUUGGACGUAUCAGGAUCCAAUCCACAUGCCCUUUCCACCAUGCCGUUAUAUGAGACUAACUAUGGUGCAACCCAAAGCUAAUGAAGCACUUCUUCAGAUCAAGCGAGAUAUGCCGAGGGCAACUCGAGCGUCCUAGGAUUGCCAAAAGUUUGUAAAAAUCACACCAUGCCGUCGGAAACAAAACAAACACAACUUAUUGGGAAACAACUUAAGGUAAACUGAAUAUUAGAGAACUUUCUAAUAUACUUGCACAAGCUCAUUGAAUACCCGCACUCAACGGUGCUCUUGAUCAAAUCGUAUCUACGCAUAGCAUGCUCUGAUACCACUACUGGUGUGUUGUACUAGGAAUUUAAUAAUUUUGCCUUACGCAACCGCCGAGGAUCACUAUGGAGAUAACGAGAACGAAGCAUGCUCAUACAUGCUAUGAUCUAGUACUUCAACUCAUCAACAUCGGAAGAACGAUGUAGUCGAAGAAGAGUUCUGAUAUAUCGUAGAUCCUCACAACUAGGCCUAGUUGCAAGGAUGUUGCUUAGUUCCCUCGCUAAGGAUCACACGUGUAAUCCCUCUUAUGGUGUGCACGCAUACGCUCGUGUCAACCCGUCAGCGCUCCGCCGUCCAGGACUCGGCACCGACGAAGAGAGACAGGCUUUUGGCGUUGCUAAAGUGGUAGCACUAAUCAACUGUGAUUAGAGCUAUAUGAAUCUGGAAAUCCUCAACACAUGAGAGAGCAACUAGCAAUUAGAGGCUAGGUAUAAUCGGGAGAGGACACCUCAAAACCCAAUUAGAC
RNAcentral lists this long non-coding RNA (1009 nucleotides) under Brachypodium distachyon (stiff brome). Its description in RNAcentral is "long non-coding RNA (BDIS_LNC006048)". The record is from RNAcentral. Lineage: Eukaryota; Viridiplantae; Streptophyta; Magnoliopsida; Poales; Poaceae.